This 775-nucleotide long non-coding RNA is filed under the name Cyanistes caeruleus (blue tit). RNAcentral describes it as "lncRNA (ENSCCEG00000023722.1)". The record is from RNAcentral. Lineage: Eukaryota; Metazoa; Chordata; Aves; Passeriformes; Paridae.
CCGGUGCUGGGAUCCCGGAGCAGGAGGGUUUGGCCAUGGCCUCCAACGGCUCCUCUGGAAUUCGGGAUUCCCCCCUGGAGACAGGAAUUUUCCUGGAUGAGGAUCUGGGAUCCGACUGGUACCUCUACGAAUCCACGGAAUCUGCGCUGGGAGAUGAGUGAGUGUUCCCUUCCCACGGAGCAAAUCCCUGGAUUUUGGGCCCUUCUACAAAUCCUGGAAUUUUUGGUCAUUCCCUGAUUUAUUCCCGGAUUUUUUGCCUCACCAAAAUCUGGGAUUUUUCCCAGAAUUUUCCCAUCCCCUGCAAGGUUAACCCCAAAUCUGGGAUUUUUCCCAUUUUUCCAGAAUUUUCCCCAUCCCUUUCAGGGUUAAAGCCCCAAAAUUUGGGAAUUUUCCUGUUUUUCCAGGGUUUUCCCCGUUCCUUUCUGGGUUAAACCCCCAAAAUUUGGGAUUUUUCCCGUUUUUCCAGCCUUCUUCCCGACGCCAUCCCGGAAUGCCACCCCACCAUUUCCCCCCGGCUCUACCACACCAUCAUGGCUCCCGUUUCCCUGGCCGUGAUCCUGGCCUUGUCCUUCCCGGCCAAGCGUCGCCGUCUCCACCGGAGCUGCUGGAGCGGCGUCCCGGGAUUGCUCAGCUCCGGGAAUCUGGAGGAGGACGGGAGCCGCGCUCCGGCCGCCGCCGCCUUCGCCCUGCAGAUCUCGGCGCUUUUCCAGCUGCUGCUGGACCGGGAACCGCUGCCCCUGGCAGCGCCCGCCGGACACGGAGCGCGCGGUGAGAG